Molecule: ribosomal RNA, 253 nt
Filed under: uncultured bacterium
Lineage: Bacteria
Description: partial 16S ribosomal RNA
Rfam family: Bacterial small subunit ribosomal RNA
Source: RNAcentral
UACGAGGGGGCAAGCGUUGUUCGGAAUUAUUGGGCGUAAAGGGCGCGUAGGCGGUGCGGUAAGUCACCUGUGAAAUCUCUGGGCUCAACUCAGAGUCUGCAGGCGAAACUGCCGUGCUGGAGUAUGGGAGAGGUGCGUGGAAUUCCCGGUGUAGCGGUGAAAUGCGUAGAUAUCUGGAGGAACACCGGUGGCGAAGGCGGCAUCCUGGACCAACACUGACGCUGAGGAGCGAAAGCCAGGGGAGCAAAGCGGG